This 1047-nucleotide long non-coding RNA is filed under the name Cairina moschata (Muscovy duck). Its description in RNAcentral is "domestica (muscovy Duck (domestic type)) lncRNA (ENSCMMG00000012289.1)". Lineage: Eukaryota; Metazoa; Chordata; Aves; Anseriformes; Anatidae. The record is from RNAcentral.
AAGAAAUUACUGUUCCUUGUCGACUUUUGUAAGGUGUUCACUGAAAGCAGUUAUAACAUUCCCAUUAACUUUUUUUUUUUUUUUUCUUUGCAGAAAGAGGCCAUUGCUGAAUGCUUUAGACAACCCUAAUUGCAAAACCACAGGAGAAGCUUGACAGAUAACCAGCCACUGAAAAUGUUUGAGGAGCAGAAAUGCCUUCUUCAUUUGCAUUUCUGGUUUCCACAAAAAUUGUGUAGCUUCACAGUGACCAAGGCAGGUCAUAUAAGAGCUUAGUUAUCUAUUUUGCACACGCAGUUAUCCGUGCCAUUGUCACACCUGCUCAGCCUUCACAUCAGUCACUCUGUACAGUUUAGUCAAGCAGUCAAAUGGCUAAAGUUCUCAAAGUCCCCGUUCCAUAUAAUUUCCAUUCCUGCCAGGUGAGAAUGACCAUUAACUGGCUCAUAUUCCAGUUUUGCUUUAUUGAGCUGAACUCUGUUUAUAUUUGUCUUUGAAGUAACAUUUCUGGACAGUGAGAGAAGCUAGACUGACAGCCCUGAAGCCUGCUUUCUGUGAGCCUGUGGUCUCUUUGUCCGUGCCCACCUGUGGCCUAACAGGCCCCAAAUCUGUUGUGUGGAAGUUGCUGCUGCUCUGCUCGGGAAAGAAGGACGCAGUAACUCCAGCACCUCCUCUUCGGUGUGCAGAACCUGAGUAUUUGUGCUUGCUCUUAGCCUGUUUUAAAUGGAGUUGGUAGGAGGAUCUGUGUACAACGUGCCUGCUGACAGCCGUCCCAGGGCUGGAGUCUGCUCUGCAGCUCACUGGAGUGGAAUCGUCUCCCUUACCCUGGAGGAGGGACUCACAAAGGAGUCAUUACCGUCAUGAUGCCUAAUUUGUGGGUGUUUUGCUGUCUGGUGGGAUUCACAACACUGAAUUAGGCAAUUGCAUUCUCCGUGCAGCGUGUGGAAAAAGCAAAACACAUGAUCUGAUUGGCUUCAAAGGGUGAGGAGAAGUUUAGGGCCUCUGCCGCUCUGAGGAGGGGAGGUACCCAUUUGGGGGAUGUCACGCUGUGGU